GGAGUCCUACGGGGGGCAGCAGUGAGGAAUAUUGGUCAAUGGUCGGGAGACUGAACCAGCCAAGCCGCGUGAGGGAGGAAGGUACAGAGUAUCGUAAACCUCUUUUGUCAGGGAACAAAGACUGGGACGCGUCGCCGGAUGAGUGUACCUGAAGAAAAAGCAUCGGCUAACUCCGUGCCAGCAGCUGCGGUAAUACGGAGGAUGCGAGCGUUAUCCGGAUUUAUUGGGUUUAAAGGGUGCGCAGGCGGUCUGUUAAGUCAGCGGUCAAAGCCCGGGGCUCAACCCCGGCCCGCCGUUGAAACUGG
This 305-nucleotide ribosomal RNA is filed under the name uncultured bacterium. Its description in RNAcentral is "bacterial SSU rRNA". It matches the Rfam family "Bacterial small subunit ribosomal RNA", at positions 333 to 636 of the family's 1533-position model. The record is from RNAcentral.